This 301-nucleotide ribosomal RNA is filed under the name uncultured bacterium. Its description in RNAcentral is "partial 16S ribosomal RNA". It matches the Rfam family "Bacterial small subunit ribosomal RNA", at positions 509 to 809 of the family's 1533-position model. The record is from RNAcentral.
CAGUCGCCGCGGUAAUACAGAGGGUGCGAGCGUUAAUCGGAUUUACUGGGCGUAAAGCGUGCGUAGGCGGCUUUUUAAGUCGGAUGUGAAAUCCCUGAGCUUAACUUAGGAAUUGCAUUCGAUACUGGGAAGCUAGAGUAUGGGAGAGGAUGGUAGAAUUCCAGGUGUAGCGGUGAAAUGCGUAGAGAUCUGGAGGAAUACCGAUGGCGAAGGCAGCCAUCUGGCCUAAUACUGACGCUGAGGUACGAAAGCAUGGGGAGCAAACAGGAUUAGAUACCCGCGUAGUCCCUGUCUCUUAUAU